RNAcentral lists this ribosomal RNA (303 nucleotides) under Triticum aestivum (bread wheat). RNAcentral's name for it is "partial small subunit ribosomal RNA". Lineage: Eukaryota; Viridiplantae; Streptophyta; Magnoliopsida; Poales; Poaceae. The record is from RNAcentral.
AGCAAGCGCACGAAGGCGUACACAGCUGCCGAGGACAAGUUUCUUUGCGAGUGUUGGCGAGACAUUGGACAAUACCCAAAGACGGGCGCCGAGCAAAAGCAUUCAACCUUUUGGACUCGUGUGCACCGCGAGUUUCAUGAGCGCAAGAAGUUUCCACCCUACCAAUUUGUGAGCACGCGCGGGUGGGUCUCCAUUUCCAAGCGGUGGAGGGUGAUCCAACAAGAGUGCAACAAGUUUUGCGCCACCCUUGAGAGCGUCAAGGCCCGCCCCGUGAGCGGCAUCGGCGUGCAAGACAUGGUAUGA